Molecule: ribosomal RNA, 476 nt
Filed under: uncultured bacterium
Lineage: Bacteria
Description: partial 16S ribosomal RNA
Rfam family: Bacterial small subunit ribosomal RNA
Source: RNAcentral
AUUGAACGCUGGCGGCAUGCCUUACACAUGCAAGUCGAACGGUAACAGGUUAAGCUGACGAGUGGCGAACGGGUGAGUAAUGUAUCGGAACGUGCCCAGUCGUGGGGGAUAACUGCUCGAAAGAGCAGCUAAUACCGCAUACGACCUGAGGGUGAAAGCGGGUGAUCGCAAGACCUCGCGCGAUUGGAGCGGCCGAUAUCAGAUUAGGUAGUUGGUGAGGUAAAGGCUCACCAAGCCGACGAUCUGUAGCUGGUCUGAGAGGACGACCAGCCACACUGGGACUGAGACACGGCCCAGACUCCGACGGGAGGCAGCAGUGGGGAAUUUUGGACAAUGGGCGCAAGCCUGAUCCAGCCAUGCCGCGUGCGGGAAGAAGGCCUUCGGGUUGUAAACCGCUUUUGUCAGGGAAGAAAAGGUUCUGGCUAAUACCUGGGACUCAUGACGGUACCUGAAGAAUAAGCACCGGCUAACUACGG